UUGGAGGGCAAGUCUGGUGCCAGCAGCCGCGGUAAUUCCAGCUCCAAUAGCGUAUAUUAAAGUUGUUGCAGUUAAAAAGCUCGUAGUUGAAUUUCGGGAUUGACGUGAUGGUCAUGCCUUAAGGGGUAUGAACUGUUACUGUUGAUUUCUCACCUUCUGGAGAAACUUGAUGUCCUUUAUUGGGUGUCUUGCGGAUCCAGGACCUUUACCUUGAAAAAAUUAGAGUGUUUAAAGCAGGCAUUUUUGCUCGAAUACAUUAGCAUGGAAUAAUAGAAUAGGACGGCAUGGUUCUAUUUUGUUGGUUUCUAGGAUCACCGUAAUGAUUAAUAGGGAUAGUUGGGGGCAUUAGUAUUCAAUUGUCAGAGGUGAAAUUCUUGGAUUUAUUGAAGACUAGCUACUGCGAAAGCAUUUGCCAAGGAUGUUUUCAUUAAUCAAGAACGAAAGUUAGGGGAUCGAAGACGAUCAGAUACCGUCGUAGUCUUAACCAUAAACUAUGCCGACUAGGAAUCAGACGAUGUUAAUUUUUUAAUGACUCGUUUGGCACCUUAUGGGAAACCAAAG
Molecule: ribosomal RNA, 561 nt
Filed under: uncultured Glomus
Lineage: Eukaryota; Fungi; Glomeromycota; Glomeromycetes; Glomerales; Glomeraceae
Description: SSU rRNA
Rfam family: Eukaryotic small subunit ribosomal RNA
Source: RNAcentral